CCCUUAGAUGUUCUGGGCCGUACGCGCGCUACACUGAUGAAUGCAACGAGCUCUACCCUUGACCGAAAGGCCCGGGUAAACUUGUGAAACUUCAUCGUGAUGGGGAUAGAUUAUUGCAAUUAUUAAUCUUCAACGAGGAAUUCCUAGUAAGCGCGAGUCAUCAGCUCGCGUUGAUUACGUCCCUGCCCUUUGUACACACCGCCCGUCGCUCCUACCGAUUGAAUGGUCCGGUGAAAUCUUCGGAUUGCUGACCAAGAUCCAGCAAUGGAGCUUGGUUGCGAGAAGUUGAUUAAACCUUAUUAUUUAGAGGAAGGAGAAGUCGUAACA
RNAcentral lists this ribosomal RNA (327 nucleotides) under uncultured eukaryote. RNAcentral's name for it is "partial 18S ribosomal RNA". It matches the Rfam family "Eukaryotic small subunit ribosomal RNA", at positions 1470 to 1796 of the family's 1831-position model. The record is from RNAcentral.